RNAcentral lists this ribosomal RNA (253 nucleotides) under uncultured bacterium. RNAcentral describes it as "partial 16S ribosomal RNA". It matches the Rfam family "Bacterial small subunit ribosomal RNA", at positions 524 to 776 of the family's 1533-position model. The record is from RNAcentral.
UACGUAGGGUGCGAGCGUUAAUCGGAAUUACUGGGCGUAAAGGGUGCGCAGGCGGUCCUGCAAGUCAGGCGUGAAAUCCCCGGGCUUAACCUGGGAAUGGCACUUGAAACUACGGGACUGGAGUAUGGCAGAGGGAAGUGGAAUUUCCGGUGUAGCGGUGAAAUGCGCAGAUAUCAGGAGGAACACCGGUGGCGAAGGCGGGACUCUGGGCCGAUACUGACGCUGAGGAGCGAAAGCGUGGGGAGCAAACAGG